CACAGAACUCAGAGAAACAUUUGACUUACUAGAUCAUUGGCUUAUUAUGAAAGGAUAUAAACACUAUUUCAUUUCAAGACUUUUUAUAAAGCGUCAACAAUCAAGACAAUGAAGAAGUGAGAAAGGCCUCUCAGAAGUUUACCUAUGCUAUGCUCUUGGGGCCCAGUCAGGAAAGCAGCAACCACAUUAGAAUUCUAGCAGAAAGGAUUGGCUAUGGGGCACUGGAGACUUAUGACCCCAUUGAAAGGGCCAGAGCUGCAAGAUCAGUGAAGCCGUGACUUUCUGAUCUGGGUUGAGCUGAGACAACAUAAUUGUCCUCAUGUAAGCACUGAAGAACCAAGACACAGAGAUACCAUCGAGUCGGUGGCAAAAUUGGGGCGAGAACUAAAAUCUCUUGUCUCUCAAUCCAUUGAUCUUUCUUAUGUGUUCCAAAGUAGAGAAUGAAUGCCUGGGAAUGACUCUGUGUGUGUGUGUGUGUGUGUGUGUGUGUGUGUGUAAUCAAUCAGAGAAAGGAAGAAAUGCAAAUUAGAUACUAUCCAAUGGCUUUUCCUCUUUGCGUGGGUAUUCCAGUAGAAAGAUAACCAUACAGCUAACCUCUAAGUUGAUUUUUAUUCCAACCAAAAAAUUAAAAUUUAAAAAAAAAGUGCCUGCCUGCUUUUUCUUUGAAAUAGUCUUUAGGAUUU
RNAcentral lists this long non-coding RNA (683 nucleotides) under Mustela putorius furo (domestic ferret). Its description in RNAcentral is "lncRNA (ENSMPUG00000029796.1)". Lineage: Eukaryota; Metazoa; Chordata; Mammalia; Carnivora; Mustelidae. The record is from RNAcentral.